Molecule: long non-coding RNA, 666 nt
Filed under: Elaeis guineensis (African oil palm)
Lineage: Eukaryota; Viridiplantae; Streptophyta; Magnoliopsida; Arecales; Arecaceae
Description: long non-coding RNA (EGUI_LNC035264)
Source: RNAcentral
CUGAAUCCAAUUCAAUUGGACUUGAUCCAAAAAUAAUUACUCAAUCAAAUUGAGUUAAUUAACGAUCAAAUCACUAAUUAAAUCUCUCAUAAAUAUUGAGUCUAAAUCCGAUGGGCAAUCGGACAUCAGAAUUCGUCGAUAUGUAACCCUGAUCGAAAAGUCCCAACCAGUGGGACUCUUGACCCCGGUACCCAUAAUGUGUGGAACUCAUGAUCAGAGAAUCCUGAUUCUCAAUCACUGAGUCUCAAAUAUGUAUGAUUCUACAUCAGCCAUCAGAUUAGAUAGGAACCUUUAAUGUGUGUGACCCUGCAGGUUCGAACCUAAGCUGGUAGCACAGGAACCAAUUCCUGUACUAAUCGAAGUGACCAUCUAGCAAUGGUACCCGAUGUUCGGAUAGAUCGAAGAGUCGCAAUCGCAACACUCAGAACCUACAUGAAUAUGGUUACUGUAUAAUUCAUCCUUUUGACCCCUGUGUUUAGGACGAUUCAGGGUUAAACUGUCAACCCUGAUCAGAUUAUCUAAAUCGUGCUCAACUCAAACAGUCCUGUGACUCCUCACAAGUCAAGUACUUGACUACACCCAGCAGCCUUCCAUCACUGAAUUAAACAUUCAGGUAGUCCAGUGCCUAAGUGUAGUGAGUUGCUUGCAAGUCAUCGUGGCAGUCUC